This 164-nucleotide small nuclear RNA is filed under the name Mus caroli (Ryukyu mouse). Its description in RNAcentral is "snRNA (MGP_CAROLIEiJ_G0035421.1)". It matches the Rfam family "U1 spliceosomal RNA". Rfam says of the family: U1 is a small nuclear RNA (snRNA) component of the spliceosome (involved in pre-mRNA splicing). The record is from RNAcentral. Lineage: Eukaryota; Metazoa; Chordata; Mammalia; Rodentia; Muridae.
AUACUUACCUGGCAGGGGAGAUACCAUGAUCACAACGGUGGUUUUCCCAGGGCGAGGCUUAUCCAUUGCACUCUGGAUGUGCUGAUCCCUGCGAUUUCCCCAAAUGAGGGAAACUGGACUGCAUAAUUUGUGGUAGUCGGGGACUGUGUUUGCACUCUCCCCUG